CUCAGCUGGGAGAGCACCUCCCUUACAAGGAGGGGGUCGGCGGUUCGAUCCCGUCAUCACCCACCA
This 66-nucleotide transfer RNA is filed under the name Escherichia coli O157:H7 str. EC4401. Its description in RNAcentral is "tRNA-Val". It matches the Rfam family "tRNA", at positions 11 to 71 of the family's 71-position model. Rfam says of the family: Transfer RNA (tRNA) molecules are approximately 80 nucleotides in length. Their secondary structure includes four short double-helical elements and three loops (D, anti-codon, and T loops). Further hydrogen bonds mediate the characteristic L-shaped molecular structure. tRNAs have two regions of fundamental functional importance: the anti-codon, which is responsible for specific mRNA codon recognition, and the 3' end, to which the tRNAs corresponding amino acid is attached (by aminoacyl-tRNA synthetases). tRNAs cope with the degeneracy of the genetic code in two manners: having more than one tRNA (with a specific anti-codon) for a particular amino acid; and 'wobble' base-pairing, i.e. permitting non-standard base-pairing at the 3rd anti-codon position. The record is from RNAcentral. Lineage: Bacteria; Pseudomonadati; Pseudomonadota; Gammaproteobacteria; Enterobacterales; Enterobacteriaceae. RNAcentral also lists the same sequence under 27 other names.